CCUACGGGAGGCAGCAGUAGGGAAUAUUGCACAAUGGGCGAAAGCCUGAUGCAGCAACGCCGCGUGCGCGAUGAAGGUCUUCGGAUCGUAAAGCGCUUUUCUGGGAGAUGAGAAAGGACAGUAUCCCAGGAAUAAGUCUCGGCUAACUACGUGCCAGCAGCCGCGGUAAAACGUAGGAGGCAAGCGUUAUCCGGAUUCACUGGGCGUAAAGCGCGUGCAGGCGGUUCGGUAAGUUGGGCGUGAAAGCUCCCGGCUCAACUGGGAGAGGUCGUCCAAUACUACCGGACUUGAGAGCGAUAGAGGAAAAUGGAAUUCCCGGUGUAGUGGUGAAAUGCGUAGAUAUCGGGAGGAACACCAGUGGCGAAAGCGGCUUUCUGGACCGUUUCUGACGCUCAGACGCGAAAGCUAGGGGAGCAAACGGGAUUAGAGACCCCGGUAGUCCUAGCCGUAAACGAUGUGAACUUGGCGUCGGUGGCUUAAACUCCCUCGGUGCCGCAGCUAACGCGAUAAGUUCUCCCCCUGGGGACUACGGCCGCAAGGUUAAAACUCAAAGGAAUUGACGG
RNAcentral lists this ribosomal RNA (563 nucleotides) under uncultured bacterium. Its description in RNAcentral is "bacterial SSU rRNA". It matches the Rfam family "Bacterial small subunit ribosomal RNA", at positions 338 to 916 of the family's 1533-position model. The record is from RNAcentral.